UUUCCGUAGGUGAACCUGCGGAAGGAUCAUUAUCGUACAAAAUGUGUCAGGCAUGCUCGGGCUGUUGCUGACUCAAAAAGUCGUGCACGCUGGAGGGUGUCCUCUCACAUAAUAAUCCAUCUCACCCUUUGUGCAUCACCGCGUGGGCACCCUUUGGGAUCGGACCGAUCUCGGAAGGGGGCCCGCGUUUUCACACAAACCCCCCCAUCUAAAAGUGUAGAAUGUCCUCAUUUAUGCAAUAAAUACAACUUUCAACAACGGAUCUCUUGGCUCUCGCAUCGAUGAAGAACCAGC
This 294-nucleotide unclassified non-coding RNA is filed under the name plant metagenome. RNAcentral's name for it is "partial contains small subunit ribosomal RNA, internal transcribed spacer 1, and 5.8S ribosomal RNA". The record is from RNAcentral.